UCGGGAAUUUUGGGCAAUGGGCGCAAGCCUGACCCAGCAACGCCGCGUGAGGGAUGAAGGCCUUCGGGUCGUAAACCUCUGUCGGGAGGGAAGAACGCAUACCGGGUGAACAAUCCGGUGAGCUGACGGUACCUCCAAAGGAAGCACCGGCUAACUCCGUGCCAGCAGCCGCGGUAAUACGGAGGGUGCGAGCGUUGUUCGGAAUCAUUGGGCGUAAAGCGCGUGUAGGCGGCUUGGCAAGUCGGAUGUGAAAUCCCGGGGCCCAACCCCGGAACUGCAUUCGAAACUGCCUCGCUAGAGUCCCGGAGAGGAAGGCGGAAUUCCCGGUGUAGAGGUGAAAUUCGUAGAUAUCGGGAGGAACACCAGCGGCGAAGGCGGCCUUCUGGACGGUGACUGACGCUGAGACGCGAAAGCGUGGGGAGCAAACAGGAUUAGAUACCCCCGUAGUCC
RNAcentral lists this ribosomal RNA (450 nucleotides) under uncultured prokaryote. RNAcentral's name for it is "bacterial SSU rRNA". It matches the Rfam family "Bacterial small subunit ribosomal RNA", at positions 355 to 796 of the family's 1533-position model. The record is from RNAcentral.